AGGGUGUAAACGCUGCAGACUUGGUGUUGGGAACCCUUCGGGGGUGCUCAGUGCCGGAGAGAAGUUGUUAAGUCUGCUACUUGGGGAGUACGUCCGCAAGGAUGAAACUUAAAGGAAUUGGCGGGGGAGCACAACAACGGGUGGAGCCUGCGGUUUAAUUGGACUCAACGCCGGACAACUCACCGGGGACGACAGCAAUAUGUAGGCCAGGCUGAAGACCUUGCCUGAAUCGCUGAGAGGUGGUGCAUGGCGUAGACGUCU
RNAcentral lists this ribosomal RNA (261 nucleotides) under uncultured archaeon. Its description in RNAcentral is "partial 16S ribosomal RNA". It matches the Rfam family "Archaeal small subunit ribosomal RNA", at positions 748 to 1009 of the family's 1478-position model. The record is from RNAcentral.